UGUGUAAUUAACUGUAAUACUCCUUUUUGAGUUAUUGUUUUUGUUUUGGAAGGAUUCCAAAACGUGAAAAUGUUGAUCCGAACCUUGAAUCGGAUUGUAUUAGGUUGGCUUGUACUCGAAAAAUAAGUGUUCUAGCUUGGGAUAGCUAGAGUCGGAGGUUCUGACGAUUGUAUUCAGGUUGAAUACAGUUUAGUGGAUUUGAAUUCUCAAGUAGGAACUUGAAGAGUGGAUGUAGGUGCAAGGUUGGCACCGAACCACUAUAAAUCUUCUUGUUUGU
This 277-nucleotide long non-coding RNA is filed under the name Elaeis guineensis (African oil palm). Its description in RNAcentral is "long non-coding RNA (EGUI_LNC023904)". The record is from RNAcentral. Lineage: Eukaryota; Viridiplantae; Streptophyta; Magnoliopsida; Arecales; Arecaceae.